GACGAACGCUGGCGGUGUGCUUAACACAUGCAAGUCGAACGGCAAGGUCCUGCUUUCGUGGUGUGCCCGAGUGGCGAACGGGCGCGUAACACGAGAGUAUCCUCCCCUUGACUCUGGGAUAACUUCAGGCCACUGGGGCACAUACCGGUUCGGCGCACCCGCUACCUUGUGGGGGUUGGGAAGUUUCGGUGGUUGUGGAUGGGCUCGCGGCUUAUCAGCUAGUUGGUGGGGUAGUGGCUUACCACGGCCUUGACGGGUAGCCGGCCUGAGAGGGUGACCGGGAACAUUGGGACUGAGAUACGGCCCGGAGUCCUGCGGGAGGCAGCAGUGGGGGAUAGUGCACGAUGGGGCGAAGCCUGAUGAAGCAACGCCGCGUGCGGGAUGACGGCCUUCGGGUUGUAGACCGCUUUCGCCUGUGACGGAGCGUGAGUGACGGUAAUGGAUAAAGAAGCACCGGCUAACUACGUG
RNAcentral lists this ribosomal RNA (468 nucleotides) under uncultured bacterium. Its description in RNAcentral is "partial 16S ribosomal RNA". It matches the Rfam family "Bacterial small subunit ribosomal RNA", at positions 28 to 507 of the family's 1533-position model. The record is from RNAcentral.